AAUAAGUGUAGUUUUGCAUUGUUCAUAUCCAACGUUUGACCGUUAAUUUUUUAUAUUAGAUGAUAAAACAUGAAUAAUACUUUAUGUGUAACUAUUUUUUUUAAAUUCUUUAUAUUUUUUUUCAAAUAAGACGGAUGAUCAAUCGUUGAACACGGAUACCCACGAAUGCACUUAUU
This 176-nucleotide microRNA precursor is filed under the name Oryza sativa Indica Group (long-grained rice). Its description in RNAcentral is "MIR812 microRNA precursor family". It matches the Rfam family "MIR812 microRNA precursor family". Lineage: Eukaryota; Viridiplantae; Streptophyta; Magnoliopsida; Poales; Poaceae. The record is from Rfam by way of RNAcentral.